This 76-nucleotide transfer RNA is filed under the name Myxococcaceae bacterium. RNAcentral describes it as "tRNA-Pro". It matches the Rfam family "tRNA". Rfam says of the family: Transfer RNA (tRNA) molecules are approximately 80 nucleotides in length. The record is from RNAcentral. Lineage: Bacteria; Pseudomonadati; Myxococcota; Myxococcia; Myxococcales; Myxococcaceae.
CGGAGCGUGGCCCAGUGGCAGGGCGCCUGGUUCGGGUCCAGGAAACUCGGGAGUUCGAUUCUCCCCGCUCCGACAA